Long non-coding RNA from Felis catus (domestic cat), 4322 nucleotides. RefSeq lists it as uncharacterized. The transcript is spliced from 7 exons. The record is from RefSeq and is a predicted model, not a curated record. NCBI's taxonomy places the organism in Eukaryota, Metazoa, Chordata, Mammalia, Carnivora, Felidae.
GGCGCCAGGCACCCGCGCGCGCAUGCGCCCCUCGGCGCCGUGGCCAGGCGCUGAGUCCCGUCCAGGCUUCUGCACCGGCUCCGCGAAGGGGAAGGCUGUGAACUCCCCAAGGACAGUAACUACAGCCAAGUGACACAGAGAAGCUGCUCAAUAAAUAUUUGCUGAAUGCGUGAACGACGUGCCCGGUCUCAAACGACUCUGCAAAGUCUCUUCGAUUAAUGAUGCCAUGAAGAGAUUGCCAUGGGCCCCACGGCCUGAUCUACCCUUUGGGCCUUUCAUCAUCUAAUCUGUGGUGUGGUUGGCUGUCCGUAUGUGAAUAUCUCUAAGGUCCCUGUCAGCACAGACGGUACCACUGCUGAAAAAGGAAAAUCAAAGACCUAUUCCAGCUGCUCUCAUCUGACAGAAGAGGAAAUAGGCCCAAUUAAGGCCCUUUCUUGCUGCGGGUAUCAUAGGGAAUACACGAGGCCAGUGCAGGUUCCGGGCUGCUAGAAAGACUAUUGUUUAGUUUUCAAUUGUGUGGUGCCAGGACACUGAAUGGAGGAGGAUAAAUUGGGAUGGAUGGGAAGGCAGCUGUGGCCCAGUCUACACCAAAUAUAGGUGGAUACUUCUACUCUGAGGAGCAACCCAGUCUACCAGAAUCAGCUGGUGUUUGAAUCCCACUCCACCACUGAAUGGCCUUGGACAAGUCACUUUGGCACCCAUGAAAUGAGGACAGCAACACCUACUGCAUCAGAUUAUGGUGAAGCUAAAUGUAUGAUGCAUACAAAGUACCUAAGAUGAUAUUUGGUACAUAGAAAAAGGCUUUGUAAACCCAUCCAACCACAUGUACUCUUCUAAAGAAAAAUAAUCACGCCAAGAAUAGGAAUUUGCCAAAUAAGAUGUAAGCAAUACCAAAUAUUUUUUAAAUCAAAAUUUUAUAGUAACACAAACUAACCCCAGAUCCUGGACUGCUUAAUAAAUCUCCUAUAAAGCUGACAUACUUAUGGGAUUACUGUUUACAUUAGUAACAGCUUAAAGGGUGGACACUGCUCACCUACCAAGAAAUGAUUCUCUCAGGCUCUCCAUCUUAUGUCUGUGUGGCAUGGCAGAGCACAACACUGUAGGAACACUUCUGUUCUCCCUUGGCUUCUGCCACCACUGAGGGCAUCAUCCAGAGCAAGAUGCCCUGUCCAGUCCUGUGUAAAAUGAGAGUUUGUCUAUAUAGUUUCCCAAACUCCUUCUGGCUCUAAAACUCUACUGCCAUGUAGAUUUUAACAGUUUAACAUGUGUGAUACUGGUUUGAGGAAGAAGUACUGUCUUCAUCAGAUAUCUUGAAAGCCUGAAAUAGGAUACUGAAUAUCACAAUGAUUAUCUACUGUUUUUUGAGGGGAAAUGAAGAACCUAACAGUUGACCUCUGAACAGCACAGGUUUGAACACAGGUCCACUUACAAGUGGAUUAUCUUCAAUAAGUAUAUUGGGAAAUUUUUUUGGAGAUUUGAGGCAAUUUGAAAAAAUUCAUUGAUGAACUGCAUAGCCUAGAAAUACCAAAAAGAUAAGAUAAAGUUAGGUAUUAUUGUAAGAAUAAAGUACAUAACAACAUAUAACAUACAAAAUAUGUGUUGACUAUGUUAUCAGUAAGGCUUCCGGUCGAUAGGAGGCUACUGGUUAAGUUUUUGAAGAGCCUAAAGUUAUACAAAAUUUUCAGCUGUGCAGGGGAGCCAGUGCCCCUAAUCCCUGAGUUGUUCAUGGGUCAACUGUAUAUAUAUAUAUUUCUAAUACUAAGAUAACAAGUCACAUUUUCACUGAGAAGCGAGGGACUAAUCUAAAAACAUUUAGAGUCAUGUAGUCCCAUGUACACACAAUUUUCAAAGGUGGGUCUACUCUUAACAAAUGUCAAUUUCUCAGCGGCUCCAAACCUAUUCCAACUGGAUUUACUGGCAAUUGUUGGUGAAGUUGGCUUAGUUUUAUAUACCAUUAUCAAUCCAAGGAGGCAAUAUGUGGGAAAACAAACAUUGCUGUGUUUAUAGGUUGCUGCAAAGGCUGUUCCCUACUGUCUUCUCUUAGCCUCAAACAGGGAGACAUGUAGAAACCACACAGGUUCUCACAGGGCUUACAUUUAAUAGAAGAGCCAGGCAAGCCUGGGAGCACAUGUAAGGGUCACUUGACUCAGAUUUCAGGGACCAGAAGCCUCCAGAAAAGUGUCAUCUAAGCUGAGGUCUGAAGAGCGAACAGCAAGGGUGUGAGGGUGAUGACCAGAGACGAGAACAGGUCUCACACCUUGCACUCCAAGUGUACCUGGGGCAUCACCUCCUCCAGUUGGCUCCACUCACACCGUGGAUUUUCCUCUAGCUAGAGUGACCAUAAGUCCUGGUUUGCUCUGGAGAGUCCCGGUUUAUCUGGCACAACUAUUAAAAGUGCCUCCUUAUACUCUCAAAAGUGCUCUGGAUGGGAUGAUCAAUUAUACCACUACCCUACCUUUAGCCUAGUUCCUGGCAGAUCCUGACUUGCAGGUCUGGCUUCCCCAGGUGACUCAGCUGACCGAAGUAUGGGAUCAAUCUUAUUUACCUUUGCAUCCAAGGCAUGGGCUCCACUUCAUUCAUCUUUGUAUCCAUGACACCUAGCCUCAUGCCUGGGGCUAAAAAGAUUGACCACUACAGGCAUUCAAGACAGAAUUUGAAAAUUAACAUGAAAAGCAAACUAUAAGAGACAACAAAUUAGAUUUGUAAAUCUUUACAUCACGCUGAAAUCCUCGUUCAAAUGUUCACUAGCCACGUAACCUUCUAAUCCUUAGGUUUUCACCUGAAAAAAAGGGGGGGAUAAUAUUACCUUUUUCACACGUUGGGUAAGUUUAAAGUGCUUCAGCACAGCACUGGCAUAGGACGAACAGUUAGCAGCAGCUGCCACAGACAAGGACGACUGAUCCUCCUGCGGCCACAACCGUUUUGCCGUAAGAAAAUCAAACCAACACCUAAUGACCAACCAGUAGGGGCUCAGGAAGUGUGCACUAAAUGAAUGCUUGGUCUCAUGCUAGGUGCUGGCUGCAGACCAGAUUCUUGGAUUACAAGAUGCAUUAAUCAAAAUUACAAUUUAUAAGUCACAGGAUUUGAGUCCCCUCAGUCCAGUUUCAAUAACAAUUAUAAAAAGCCCACCUCACAUCCAGAAGAAAAAUAGAACACAGCAGCACUAUCUGGCCAUAUCUUAGAUAAUAACAGCACUUAAAACCUCAUCCUUGUUACAACUGCCCUCUCUUAAAAAUUAUUCUUCUAUAAGCAUGCCAACUUAGAUAUCUGGGUCCAUCUCUACCUUUUUGAACUGUCAGCCUCCCAAGUUUUAUGUGAUUAAUGUAUAUACAGAAAACUAGAAAGGCUUCAAAUUGAGUCAAUAGUCGUUUUCUUGAUCCCCCCACCCCCAUUACAAUAUCCUCUUUGCAAUAGAUCCUUGUUGAACAUUUGGAAUGAAUUAAGACUUUAAAUUUCCAGAUGUUUAAACUACUACUGUAAAUUCAAACUCAUUAAAAAGGGCAGAUUUACUACCUCUACUUAGUUUUGAAGUCUGUUGUUCACCCUGUCCAAAUAAUUUACGAAACCAAAUACAGUGGCAGGUAGUGUAUUCUAUUUAUAUAGUAUUCAUGGUGAGAAAUAAAGGGCAUUUAAAAAAGUCUGGAAACUAACUGCUAUUUUAACCAACCUAUAGAUCACACUUAUUGUUGUUUCUAAGCCAGUAAUUGUUUCCUGAAACCGAUCUAGUAGAGAUUUUUAUGCUAAUCUGUACUAAAAAUUACUUUGCUUUUUCUGGCCACAAAAAGCUGGCUACAGAGGAGCAUUUGAUUACAGCAAGAAGACAGCUGCACCCACUCUUGUGAAAUAAAUGGACCUGGAUCUACAGUCCUUUGUGGUAGUGUCUUGGCAGCCAAACAAAGGUGGCAGCAUUUCUACACCCAGUUUGUGAAGUCUCAGAAGUUUCAGGCUUUUUUUUUUUUUUUUUUGCAAAGAACCCAUGUUGACUAUAAUGAGCACAUUCUAGAGAUGCUGUGCUGAAAGCUGGCAAUGGAUAAAGCAGGAACAUAAAAGAAGCCUAUUCCUAAAGGAAAUAUUUCUUUUAUAAACCAUAAGAAUGAAGUGGCUUUCAUAAUCAAUUUUAAGAUUGAAGGAUUGAGAUAUCUGGCUAUGGCAACUUAUUAGCUAUAUAAUUUGGGGCAAUUCAUUUACCUCUGUGAGCUUGACUGCUUAACCGAAAAAUGGGGAUAAUAAGUUGCUUUUUUCGGAGAACUUGAAUGAUAUAGUCACAGUGCUCUGUAAGUUCUAAGGUAUCAUAUAAAUAUUAAUAAACACUGCAAGUACAA